AUGAGCGAGGCACCCGCGACGACCGCCGCCGCCGGAGACGACCCUGACGCCACCGCCACCGCCAAUCAUCAUCAGCAGCAGCAGCAGGCGCAGGCGCAGGCGCAGCCCGAGACGCAGGACGACGCGGACCAGCUGUCGGAGCUGCGGCAGAUCUUCCGGUCCUUCGACCGCAACAAGGACGGCAGCCUGACGCAGCUGGAGCUGGGCUCCCUCCUCCGCUCCCUCGGCCUCAAGCCCAGCACCGACGAGCUCGACGCCCUCAUCCACCGCGCCGACACCAACUCCAACGGCCUCGUCGAGUUCUCCGAGUUCGUCGCCCUCGUCUCCCCCGAGCUCCUCGACGACCGCUCCCCCUACUCCGAGGACCAGCUCCGCAGGCUCUUCGAGAUCUUCGACCGCGACGGCAACGGCUUCAUCACCGCCGCCGAGCUCGCGCACUCCAUGGCCAAGCUCGGCCACGCGCUCACCGCCAAGGAGCUCACCGGAAUGAUCGAGGAGGCCGACACCGACGGCGACGGCCGGAUCAACUUCCGUGAGUUCUCCCGCGCCAUCACCGCCGCUGCCUUCGACAACGUCUUCUCCUGA
RNAcentral lists this ribosomal RNA (585 nucleotides) under Triticum aestivum (bread wheat). RNAcentral's name for it is "partial small subunit ribosomal RNA". Lineage: Eukaryota; Viridiplantae; Streptophyta; Magnoliopsida; Poales; Poaceae. The record is from RNAcentral.